UUUGGUGCAUCAGGUUUCCGG
This 21-nucleotide non-coding RNA is filed under the name Rattus norvegicus (Norway rat). Lineage: Eukaryota; Metazoa; Chordata; Mammalia; Rodentia; Muridae. The record is from RNAcentral.